CGGAAAGGGACCCUUUCCCCCGGAAGGAGAGGGAAGUUGAGAGGAAGAUCAGAUACGGAAUAGAUGGAAGGCCUGGGGAUCACUAAACAAGAUUUAUCAGCAGAUUGCAGGUGCACACAGCCUUGAGCUCAGCCUGUUGAGACUGCCCUAGCGUUACAUAGGCAGCAGUGCCCAGGACUAGACUCGAGAUCAGGGAAAGAAGUGUCAGCACAUCAGCCUGCCACCAAUUACAUGAACCACAGAUUACACCAAAUACAGGUGCCUGAAUGCCAGAUUCAGCCAACUGAGGCACGAGUGGUAGAAGACGGCACAGAAAUUAAGAAGGAAAGACAUCAGAAAGGUCUAAUAUAUAUUUGCCUUUUAAGUCUUUUGUACAUCUUUGGAGAAAGAAGGACAGCACCAGUAAAUCACCUCGACAUGGAGUGCUGAGCUCUGGACAAGCAGCCCGAAUUUGAUAUUUCAAAAGAAGCCAGCAUGGAAAAAUUAGAACUGCAAAUAAUGAAAAAAGGCCCCAGCACAAGACAGAAAACACCCUGAGUUCUGCUUCUGGCAGUCACCCUUUCCAGUUCUACGGCUGUGGGUGGCGGCAGGACUUCUUGCCAUCCAUGUGGAAGGAAUAUAAAUGGGGGAUGAUCUUGGCCCUCUCCCGGCCUUGGAAAGGAGUACACAAUGGCCCAGUGUCUCAGUGAAAGAUCCCCAUCAAGGGCAUAUUGUUCCAAGUGCU
This is a long non-coding RNA of Fukomys damarensis (Damara mole-rat), 724 nucleotides long. RefSeq lists it as uncharacterized. Lineage: Eukaryota; Metazoa; Chordata; Mammalia; Rodentia; Bathyergidae. The record is from RefSeq and is a predicted model, not a curated record. The transcript is spliced from 6 exons.